RNAcentral lists this ribosomal RNA (428 nucleotides) under uncultured bacterium. RNAcentral describes it as "bacterial SSU rRNA". It matches the Rfam family "Bacterial small subunit ribosomal RNA", at positions 83 to 507 of the family's 1533-position model. The record is from RNAcentral.
GGAUUUUAGAGAGCGGCGUACGGGUGCGGAACACGUGUGCAACCUUACCUUUAUCUGGAGGAUUAGCCUUUUCGAAAAGGAAGAUUUAAUACUCCAUAAUAUAUUGAUUGGCAUCAAUUAAUAUUGAAAGCUCCGGCGGAUAGAGAUGGGCACGCGCAAGAUUAGUUAGUUGGUGAGGUAACGGCUCACCAAGACGAUGAUCUUUAGGGGGCCUGAGAGGGUGAUCCCCACACUGGUACUGAGACACGGACCAGACUCCUACGGGAGGCAGCAGUGAGGAAUAUUGGACAAUGGGUGCAAGCCUGAUCCAGCCAUCCCGCGUGAAGGACGACUGCCUAUGGGUUGUAAACUUCUUUUGUAUAGGGAUAAACCUCUCCUCGUGAGGAGAGCUGAAGGUACUAUACGAAUAAGCACCGGCUAACUCCGUG